This is a non-coding RNA of Brassica rapa (field mustard), 125 nucleotides long. The record is from Rfam. NCBI's taxonomy places the organism in Eukaryota, Viridiplantae, Streptophyta, Magnoliopsida, Brassicales, Brassicaceae.
AGAAUAUAAGAAACCGUUUCUUAAUUUUUAACUAAAAAAACUAAGAACCGGCUUUUAAUUAAAAUAUUUAGGGGCCGGUUCUUAGCUUUUUUAGUUAAACAUUAAGAGAGAGUUUCUUAUAUUAC